Molecule: unclassified non-coding RNA, 147 nt
Filed under: uncultured Helotiales
Lineage: Eukaryota; Fungi; Ascomycota; Leotiomycetes; Helotiales
Description: sequence contains ITS2
Source: RNAcentral
CAACCCUCAAGCUCUGCUUGGUAUUGGGUUUUCACCCUCUGUGGUGUACCUCAAAAUCAGUGGCGGUGCCACCUGGCUCCUAGUGUAGUAAAACUUUCUCGCUAUAGAGUUUGGGUGUUUGCUUGCCAGCAACCAUUAUUUUUUAUA